AAAUACAACAGCAAUACAACAUCAACACCAAACCACCCCACCCCCCUGCACGUUUUCUUCUCCUUCUUUGCUUGCAAACCCAGCAAAUAGUAACCGACCCAACUGCCUCAUCUUCUUCCCUACGCGACUAGACCCAGCAACACCAGCGAGCAAAUCGCGCUGCAAACCCAGAAAGUCCGCAAAGAAAUCCAGUCGUCCCAUCCCAUUUUCCCCCUUUUUCAGAAGAAAUUUCCAUCCCUUCCAUUAUUGCCAAAGAGCAAAGGAAAUUCAAAUUUCAAAUUCAAAUUAAUUCCAAAUCAUCAAUCAAUUUCCCCCCCAAAAUUGAUCUCAAUUCUCUAUAAAUAGUCUCUUAUUCACUGCAUAAGGGGGGGACCAAAAAAAAAAAAAGUUUUGAGUUUGAGUUUCUUUGGCAAUAGUCAUUUUACACUUAAAAUUUUAUACUUAGUUCUCUGGUUUUUAAGUUCCGAAGAGGUCAUCGCUAAGAUUAUCUCGGUUUGUUGUUAAUAUUCGAAUUUGGUGGUGGAAGAAUCGAUGCCCUCCUUUGCUCGUCGUCUCAGUUUCGCUGCCCGGAAAAGGUAAUCUCGCCCCUUCUUGCAUUCUGUUUCUACGUAGUAUGUGUUAUGUGUUUGAUAUUUGGCGGAGUCCAGUUAUUAGGAUUAGUUGGUUUCUCCGUUUUAAUCUUUUUCUUUCUGUUUCGUUUCUCCCGUGAGUUCUUAGGACUGUAAGCAUGAAGUAAAUAUCAGUGAAGUUCUUUUGAGGUUCAUUUAGCUUCGACUUCGAAUGCAUUAAGCUAUAUAGUUCUGUCUCUUCAUUGUUUACCCGAUGUUUUGGUUUUCUUCUCUGUUGUCCGAUUCAUCGUUAUAGAUUACCACCAUUGCUAGUCUAAUCCCGUAGUAUUUAUCUAUGUUCUUGCUCAACUCGUAUACUGUUCAUGUCAUUUUCGCGUCUUCAACUUGUGAUAUCAUGUUUGCAAUUCACCUUAGUCUUAUUUUAACUUGGAUCAUUUGCUCGUAGUUAAUCUAUUCCUAAUUAUGUAUCUUGCCUUUCAUAUUGGAAAUGUUUCGCUUUCGAAAAUGUGGCAGAGAAUCUGAUUGUUCCCUUGCUUUCUGAGUGUAGUUUGAUCCGUUUUGGUGUUAUUCAUUAACCAAAAAUCUGGAAAUUUUAUUCAAUAUUGUAGUUGUUCAUCUGAUAAAUGUUGACGUAGUUUCUUCACAAUCUUGACUUGUUAUAACAUCACGUGAGUACCAUUUCGUUUUGGCUUAAGUUAGCGAUGCAUUUUUAGUAUAAUAUUUUCUUGUAUCUCCUAAGUUAGUCGUUAUGUAUUUCCAUUCUUUGUUCUUGGAUACUAGCUGGUGGUUUGAGGGCACGAUUGUUUCUUUCUUUUAACCUUCCUGUCCAACCCCUUUAGUAGUCGAUUUAAGGUGUUAAACCAUGCUUUUAUCAUAACAGAAGGGUCAUAGUGAUUAGUUUUAAUAUAGUUCCUACUCAUGCAUUUAUUAUUGUUUAAUUAUGACCAUUUGAUGUACGCUUGUUUCCUCUGUUAAGUUGAGGUCACUAGUCGCCAUUUUUUAUUUUUUUUGCUUUCCUUUGUGGAUUAUAAAUGAAGAACUGAUCCUUGAAGACUGCUCAUUAGAAAAUUGUUGUGGGAACAUUUGUUUGUUAAUAUAAAGUUUGAGUUUUGUUAGAGUAAUUAUAUUGGUCUAGUUUCAAUUUGUCAUAUGGAUUUGAAUAUUUUAUUUUGAUGCUCUUAGAAAUAGGUAAGUUAUGUAUUAAUUGUGUUUUUGCUAAAGUUGAUGUUAUCAAUGGUUUAGCUUAAUCAUCAUAUGCAGCAUGCUGUUAACUUUUCGCUAAGGAAGUCUAUGCCCCUUUAUUUUUUAAUUGUCCUCUGUAAAUCACUCCCCUGUGGGUUAUUGUUUCAAAAAUAUCAUGUUGCUUUAUUUUCUAUUAUGAACUACUUUGAGCAUUACUUAUGUUCCUUUUCAUUUGUUUAUGCAUGUGAAAACCCGACCCGAGGCCUCAUGGACUCUAUCUCCUCUCCUUGCCAUUCGAUGAUUGGGUCAUGGAGGCCCAAAUUACUUUUAUCGAGUCAGCCAACCUUGAAAAAUCGAAGAAUAAGUCUUUGGAGUUAACGUACAGGUCCCGAAAAGCAGAAAAAUAAGUUGUAUACAUCCUAUAUACACCGAUAUACAACCGAUGUAUACAAAAAUGGGAAUUUGGCUAAGACCAAAAUUUUCAUCGAAUUUGGCCCAAAAGGAGGCCCAAAUUCAAUUUCUCCCUUACUCUUUAAUUAUUUAAUCGUGAUUAUUAUUUUAUUUUUUUAUUAGCUCUGGCUUUAUUUGUUUUGGUUUUAACUUAAUUAGAUUCCCCAAAAGAUGAGUUAUUUUCUUAGUGUUGGUUUACUUUAAAUAUUCUUUUUGUGUUGUGGUUAUUUAUUUUAUUAAUCGAAUACCG
This 2451-nucleotide long non-coding RNA is filed under the name Solanum tuberosum (potato). Its description in RNAcentral is "long non-coding RNA (STUB_LNC009981)". The record is from RNAcentral. Lineage: Eukaryota; Viridiplantae; Streptophyta; Magnoliopsida; Solanales; Solanaceae.